CGUGCCCACGCUUUUCGUGGUGUGUAACGUCCCCAUCGCGAGGGCUCGGUACCACGCCAGUCUCGGCAACGGAGACAGGGCGGUAACAGGUGAUGCACAACCACCUGUGUGAAGCCGCUGGGCGGCCCUCCCGGGCUCUCUCAGGGUACUCCCCAUGGUAGACCCAGCUCCCCCGGGGGGUCCGUUCCUCGGCUUCCUCCUCGAGGCACGGGGACGCCUAACCUUACAACCCCGCACGAUGCGGGUAGGGAGCCUGGCUUGAUGGGGCAUAUGCUCAAGCGGCGGCUCCGAGCCCCGUGGCCCGCCCCACGCCGCCGCGGGUGGCAGGGGAGGUACCGCUGGCUCCGAGGCGGAGCUUUGCUCCGCUCCACCGCGCCGCGCCCGGCCCGCACCUCUCCGCUCCGCCGCGGCCCCGUUCGUUCCGGAUCCGCGGCCCCGGCGCGGCGGUGUUGCCGCGCUCCCCGCCGCGGCUCUGGGUGCCUUCUGCCUCCCAGCAUGAAUGUGAGGAGGGUGGAGAGCAUCUCGGCGCAGCUGGAGGAGGCCAGCUCCACAGGCGGAUGGAUAUGUUAGCCCCUGAGAAGAAAGCACAUGAAGAGAAAGAAGAUUUGCAACAAUAUCAUCAGAAACCUGCAAACUGCAAGAAACUGCUUAGGAAUUGCUGCUUGGUGAAACGAUUUUUUGCCUGGAAAAGUUUGAGCACUAAAGGUACCUUUCCUAUUGAAUUUCUCAGUGUAGGGGAAACUGUUGUCUUCCCAAGAAUUCUUUUUUUUUUUUUAUAGAGGUGCUACUGAAUUUAGCAUCAAUCACAUUACAGGUACAAAAGUCUCUACUGUCUUGGAUCUAUUGUGCACAGAGAUUAGAAAUGGUGCAGCUUUGAUUGAAGGUGCUUUAUCCUAAUGUGACAUAAUUAAUUGUACUGCAUGAGCAUUCUUUUUGCAGCUCAUCAAAAUACAUCAUCUACAGAAAAGACCGGCAGAAAAAAAGAAAUCCUUCAAUCAUAAGCUAAAUGACUAAAUGUAAAAUCACAGUAAUUAAAUUCAUCAGUUUAUUAGGGCUCAGCCCCCAAAGCUGUUUUGAUGUUUAAAAACUGCUUUGAUCAUUGUCAGGGUAUAUUUACAUAGAAAUUACACGAUCAAUUCCUUUGUCUUAGAGGAAAUAGAGAAAGGUAAUUUUUAUACAUAAUGAUGCUGUAUACUGUACUUAUUAAUAAUUAUUAAAAUAAAUGCUUCUAUUUAAAUUGGAACUUGGCUGUG
This 1253-nucleotide long non-coding RNA is filed under the name Coturnix japonica (Japanese quail). RNAcentral's name for it is "lncRNA (ENSCJPG00005018387.1)". Lineage: Eukaryota; Metazoa; Chordata; Aves; Galliformes; Phasianidae. The record is from RNAcentral.